Molecule: ribosomal RNA, 336 nt
Filed under: Triticum aestivum (bread wheat)
Lineage: Eukaryota; Viridiplantae; Streptophyta; Magnoliopsida; Poales; Poaceae
Description: partial small subunit ribosomal RNA
Source: RNAcentral
AUGCAGGUCCAGGAACACCGGGCCGGAGCAGUGGUGGCAAAAGGCCCUGCGUGGUCACACGUGCCCACCACACCACCAGGCUGGCACACAGUUGCCGCCGGGAUCGACCACAUGACCUCAACACCACCAAACCAGAGCCAACACCAUAGCUCAGAGGCAGACGCCGCCGGGGAUGAAUCGACCCACCUACACGAGGCAGACACGCAGAGCCCCGGCCAGCAAGGCGCCGGCCCGCCCGAAAAGACUGUGCCUGCACCCUGGCCAGCAGCAGCAAUGCAGCAGAGGAGUUGGGCUGCGCCGCCAGGGGAUAGCAGGAAAGCUGCAGCAGGGCCAUAG